AGAGUUUGAUCCUGGCUCAGAGCGAACGGCGGAAUGCUUAACACAUGCAAGUCGCACGCCCCGGCAACGGGGAGUGGCGGACGGGUGAGGAACGCGUAGGAACAUGUCCAGAGGUGGGGGACAACCCUGGGAAACCGGGGCUAAUACCGCAUACGGCCCGAGGGCCAAAGCCGCGAGGCGCCUUUGGAGUGGCCUGCGUCCGAUUAGCUUGUUGGCGGGGUAACGGCCCACCAAGGCGGCGAUCGGUAGCUGGUCUGAGAGGAUGAUCAGCCACACUGGGACUGAGACACGGCCCAGACUCCUACGGGAGGCAGCAGUGGGGAAUAUUGGGCAAUGGGCGCAAGCCUGACCCAGCAAUUCCGCGUGGGUGAAGAAGGUCUUCGGAUUGUAAAGCCCUUUCGGCGGGGACGAUGGUGACGGUACCCGCAGAAGAAGCCCCGGCUAACUUCGUGCCAGCAGCCGCGGUAAUACGAAGGGGGCUAGCGUUGCUCGGAAUCAUUGGGCGUAAAGGGCGCGUAGCGGCGCAGCUAGUCAGGCGUGAAACCCCCGGGCUCAACCCGGGGACUGCGUUUGAUACGGCUGUGCUAGAGGAUGGAAGAGGGCCGCGGAAUUCCCAGUGUAGAGGUGAAAUUCGUAGAUAUUGGGAAGAACACCGGUGGCGAAGGCGGCGGCCUGGUCCAUUACUGCGCUGAGGCGCGACAGCGUGGGGAGCAAACAGGAUUAGAUACCCUAGUAGUCC
Molecule: ribosomal RNA, 739 nt
Filed under: uncultured bacterium
Lineage: Bacteria
Description: bacterial SSU rRNA
Rfam family: Bacterial small subunit ribosomal RNA
Source: RNAcentral